Cydia strobilella is the source of this 279-nucleotide long non-coding RNA. RefSeq lists it as uncharacterized. NCBI's taxonomy places the organism in Eukaryota, Metazoa, Arthropoda, Insecta, Lepidoptera, Tortricidae. The transcript has 2 exons. The record is from RefSeq and is a predicted model, not a curated record.
GUUUUCAGUCUAUAUAAUAUGUGUACUAUUAUGUUUAAUAUAAAAUCAUUGCGUGUCUUUCUUUAUUAAGAUAAUGAAAAGGAACGUAGAUACUAUUAUUUCUUGAACUUAUGAAGGUUAUGUUAGCUUGAUCUUUGUUAUGUUGUAUUAAUUAUAAGAAAUAGCUAUAAUAUUUUAUUGUGUGGGGUCCAAGUAUGCUUGAAGACACGGUUAUGUAACAUCCUGUAGAUAUAAGAAAAAAAGCUGAAUAAAAAGCCAAAUAAAAUCAUUUAAACAUAA